RNAcentral lists this transfer RNA (72 nucleotides) under Camelus bactrianus (Bactrian camel). It matches the Rfam family "tRNA". From Rfam's summary of the family: Transfer RNA (tRNA) molecules are approximately 80 nucleotides in length. Their secondary structure includes four short double-helical elements and three loops (D, anti-codon, and T loops). RNAcentral also lists the same sequence under 1 other name. The record is from Rfam by way of RNAcentral. Lineage: Eukaryota; Metazoa; Chordata; Mammalia; Artiodactyla; Camelidae.
GAGUGUGUAGCUCAGUGGCAGAGCAUGUGCUUAGCAUGGGCGAGGUCCUGGGUUCAAUCCCCAGUACCUCCA